This 460-nucleotide ribosomal RNA is filed under the name uncultured bacterium. RNAcentral describes it as "partial 16S ribosomal RNA". It matches the Rfam family "Bacterial small subunit ribosomal RNA", at positions 338 to 795 of the family's 1533-position model. The record is from RNAcentral.
CCUACGGGAGGCAGCAGUGAGGAAUAUUGGUCAAUGGGCGUAAGCCUGAACCAGCCAAGUCGCGUGAGGGAGGAAGGCUCUAUGGAUCGUAAACCUCUUUUAUAAGGGAAUAAAGUGCGGGACGUGUCCCGUUUGGAAUGUACCUUAUGAAUAAGGAUCGGCUAACUCCGUGCCAGCAGCCGCGGUAAUACGGAGGAGCCGAGCGUUAUCCGGAUUUAUUGGGUUUAAAGGGUGCGUAGGCGGCAUUUUAAGGCAGCGGUGAAAGUCUGUGGCUCAACCAUAGAAUUGCCGUUGAAACUGGGAGGCUGGAGUGUGUUAGAGGCAGGCGGAAUGCGUGGUGUAGCGGUGAAAUGCUUAGAUAUCACGCAGAACUCCGAUGGCGAAGGCAGCCUGCCAGGCCAUGACUGACGCUGAUGCACGAAAGCGUGGGGAUCAAACAGGAUUAGAUACCCUUGUAGUC